UCUUGAUUCGGAUCCAUUAGAAACAAAAGAACCCCUUAUCCCUCUUUUGCAGAAACCCUAGCGUCAAAAUCUCUUAGCCAAUCUCUAAGCCAAUUCCUUCUUCUUCCCUUCAAUGCACAGCGAUCUACAAGAUGAUAAAGGCGUUUGGUUUAUGAUGUGCUUUUGAAGCAGGCAACUUUAGUUAAAGAUCAAGUUAUUGAGGCUAAACUAGAUAUUAUGCUUCUUUAAAUAGUUGGGUUAUUGAGUGAAUCUUUUGGUCUUUUGACAGAAGUGAAGAAGUUUGUUCAGAGUAUGCCAAGACACUCUAUUUAGAUGAUGUUGCUUCAGUUGCACUCAUUCCAACUCCAGUUUCAGUUUCAACAAAUCCAAAGUGGCUACUGAACUCGCAUUAAAAUACAUUACACUUAGACCUUUCAGCUGGGAUCAAGAUACUGACAAAGUCAAGGGUAAUACCAACGGUUCUAGGAACAAAACCAGAAUUACUCAGACAAUUUAUGUGUUCUUUUGAACGAAGAUAGAAUCUUGAUUAUAAAAAAGAACUCCAAAUCUAAUGAAUCUGUAUGGUUUCUUGAGGUAAGUAUUCACAUUUAUUGAUCUUGAAAUGAUAGCGUUCAUUAGGUUUUAUUAGGUGGACACACAAUUUAGACGAGAACAAAAAAGUUUGAAACAAAAGUUGUUGCUUGGAGUAAGGGGUUAUUGGUAAUGCUGAGCGGCCCAUAGUAAUUAGUAGCCCGUGUAUGUCGGGUUUGUAAUAUGUCAAAAACGUUUUGUCAAGUGAUGGUUUGAUUUGAAUUCACUAAAUUUUAUGGUUUGCAAGUAUAUCAUGAAGAUAUGAAGAUGUUUUGAUGAUGAUACCAAGUUUAAACCACUAUAACUAAAUGAAAUUAUUCUGACUUAUUUAGAGAUGUAUGAACAAUUUAUAUAUUUUGUUUAAAAAUUAUGUGUAUUUAAUUUUCAACU
This 960-nucleotide long non-coding RNA is filed under the name Helianthus annuus (common sunflower). The record is from RNAcentral. Lineage: Eukaryota; Viridiplantae; Streptophyta; Magnoliopsida; Asterales; Asteraceae.